CUCAAUUUUUUUACGUUUUUUUUAGAAUUUAAAAUUAUUUCUAAGUUGUAUAUUUUUUUUUAAUUGUAAAAAAUGUCGAUUUAGUUUGGAGCAUAGUCGAGCUGUACAAAUUUCUUCUAUAAUUUUUACCUAUAAAUUCUGCCUAUGUUUAUAUGUGUGUAUAUUUUUAUGUAUGUGUGUAUGUAUAAGUGUCGUGUAUAAAUGUGUUUACGUAUGCUAGAAUGUUUGUAUAUGUCUUACAUCUAUGAGAAAAUGAUUUUCAGUUUGAGCUAAUAUAUUUCUAAAGGUUAAACACGCUUCGCGGCAAGCAGUCGAAGUUGUCACCAGUAGAUCGUAGCGCAAAUAAAAAAAAAUCUUUAUUAUCUACAAAUCCACAUGAAAUUUACUACAAAAGUACACAUGAAUAUUAACCUUUUUUUUAUGAGAAAAAUGCAGGUUACGCAUUUCCUUGUCCCGGGGAAGAGGCAGGGGGUAUGUUGGACUUCCCAUCUCCUUUCGAGAUGGUAUACGCACUAAAUCUCUCGGUGGUUGCCUACCUCCGGCGUAGCGGCGGGCUACGGGAUCAAGCGAGUAUAUAACCCACCGCAUAGCGCUGACUGCUCCCCCUUCCAUGCCUCGGUCCCCGCCGAAAAAAAGGAAAAAAGAGGGCUAGAAGGGGAGGCUCAUCCCAGGAGGAACAGGGCCAACAGCCUUAUUUCUCCUGCUUAGUCUACAGGUGUGACGAGGAGACGUAAUCACGUCGUUUCCCCGCCCUAUCCUGGGACCGUCGUGAAAGUGGGCCGAUCCAUGUUUCCCAUGGACCGACUCAACGGCCCCGGGGGCGGGCGGAGUGAGGACGUAUGGAUUUCUUACAUAGGCUCCCUGCCUCUGCCCGCCCCUUUAUCUGUGGACGGGAUUGGCAGUCGGACUCUACUCUCGAUCUCGCUCCGCCGCCUCCAUCCUCGCGAUCCGGUGCAGGUACUCUCCGAAGCAACCGUGCCCGCUGAAGACCUGCACUAGCCUAAACGUGAGGGGCCCAUGAUCUAUUUAGUCCUGGAGGACGGGGAGGAUCGCCCCGACGUUCUUCGGACCAACCCGUGCACGAGCCAAUCGCUCGUGCAACAGAUCCAAGGAUCGUUGUCGGGCCUGGAGUUCCCAGGCCGACAUGAAUAUUAACUCUUGUAUCUAAAUAACAUACAUAGUGAGAAUAUUAACUUGUGUCAAGUUAAAAACCAGAAGGAAGUAUUUUUGAAUGGCUAAAGUUUGAAAAAAAAAACGCGAAAAAUGGCCUGUAUUUACUUGAAUUUCUUGUUGUAACUGGAAAACGGAGCGUCUGACGAAAAAAUUGUACAAAACAUUUUUUGUUUAUCUUGAUGUUUUCUACAAGGUACGUUUUCAAAUAAAAAAUUUUUAUAUUUGCAUUGCAAAAUAAAAAAACUGAUUAAAGUUGUAGUUUUUUUUUAAGUAAUUGGCAAUCAAAGUAAACAUUAGUUGUUAUUAAUGAAAAUGUAAAUUAGAAAAGUUUAAGAUAUGCUUAAGGGAGGAAUGUCAUGUAAACGGCAUGUUUGGAAGAAUUUUUUUUUGAAAAAUGUAAUGCAUAGAUUGAUUUGAAAUUUAAAGACGUAACAAUUUAAAAACAUAUUUCUUUUAUUUUUAACUUUAAUUUUCAAAAAUAACGGUGCAAUGGCUUGAAAAAAUGCACCAUGCAGCAUACAGGUCACAAAACUGAUCUGAAACAGAAAAUUCAAAAUGAGUUCUUUAGUUUAUGCAAAAACGAUUAACAUGAUGUUUUUAUUUUAAAUUUAUUUAAAAUUUGCAAAUUUUCAAAAAUGGCGAAGUUUUGAAGAAAAAAAAAUUUUUUUAACUAUUGUUGUUUGCGCGUGCGUAGAGUAAACGCGAUCGCACGAAGGGAAUGCCGGGAUCCGUCCCGAUAGAGACGCAAAGUGAGUGGUCAGGAAUGCGGGAGGUUCACGGGAGGUGAUAGGAAUAAGAAGGAGGCGUUGGUGUCACUCACACUUAAUUAUUUAUUCACAAACGGACGUUCGGAGCGAGGGGCGAACCGUAUCUUUUACAAAGUAUCGGAUAUCUUGAUACGCCCUGAUAUUACGCUGCCUAAUCGACGCGGAAAUUUUGCAGAGCCUCGAGAUCGAGGCCCUCGCGAAUCCGGAAAUCUUGCGCGCGAUCCGACGGAGAUCUUGUGCGCGAGACAGAGGACGUUCACGGGAAAGAUACGGCCACCUGCGCACGGACGUAAUGCACUCACAAUAUUCACGCGAAUACAAAACUGAAGGAUUAAACAAUGUUGGUUGACGGGAGAAUUAAUUCACGCGCACUAUCACGGCGCGACUGAGAGAGAAGAAGCGGAGGUGAAUUCCCGCAGCUAGGAUCGGCGGAAGACCGGAGAGAUCUGCUGGACGAUCUACUUUCGGUGCCGGGCUGCGAGAGACUGGCGAAUUUUGCAUUGUAAAACAAUUACGAUUGGAGGCGAAAAAAGGGGCGGUAGGGAACCGAUAUUGAGACUUAUUUGGGCAUGGAUUUGGACGUGCCCUUUUUUGGGGCUUGUUUAUUUGCGUAGUUACCAAGAUGCAUAGUUACCGGCGAUGCGAGCAAACGAAAAUCGCGCGCGUGAGGAGCUAGUGACAGCGCCGCGCGACUCGGUGCAUCGAAGAAAUGAACUACAAGGAGCUCGAUGGCUGUCAGGAGCUCUCACUACUCGCGGAUAAAACAGAGCCAAUAAAAAGGAAAUGUUAAAACUCUAAAGUAAUUGUUAUAGUCUCGAACAAUUGUUAAUAACAAUGUUGUAAAUUAAAAAAUUAAAAAUUGGAACACGUUAUACUAAGGCUAAUUACUCACAGAAUAUUUAUACCAAAUUUCAUAAAGAUUAAAAGAUUAGUUUUUGCAUGGCGUGCAAAAUUUAUGUCUGUGGACUGCGUCAGUGGACUGUCUAGCACGCCACUACUAAAAAAAAGUUUGAAAAUACUGCAUAAUUUUAUGCUAAUUAUCUGCUAAUUUUUUGCUACUACCACUUCACAGGAGAUUAAGACCAAAAGUGGGGGUGCUAAAUUUAUCUGACGGUAGCACCUCCACUAAUAAAAAAAGCAUAAACAAAAAA
Molecule: long non-coding RNA, 3091 nt
Filed under: Monomorium pharaonis (pharaoh ant)
Lineage: Eukaryota; Metazoa; Arthropoda; Insecta; Hymenoptera; Formicidae
Description: uncharacterized LOC105839285
Source: RNAcentral